GGCGUUAAGGGCUUCGCAGGCGGUUUUUUAAGUUUUGAAUGUGAAAGCCCCCGGCUUAACCGGGGAGGGUCAUUUGGAAACUUGGGGAAACUUUGAGUGCAGAAGAGGAGAGUUGGAAUUUCACGUGUAGCGGUGAAAUUGCGUAGAGAUGUGGAGGAACACCAGUGGCGAAGGCGACUCUCUGGUCUGUAACUGACGCUGAGGAGCGAAAGCGUGGGGAGCGAACAGGAUUAGAUACCCUGGUAGUCCACGCCGUAAACGAUGAGUGCUAAGUGUUAGGGGGUUUCCGCCCCUUAGUGCUGCAGCUAACGCAUUAAGCACUCCGCCUGGGGAGUACGGUCGCAAGACUGAAACUCAAAGGAAUUGACGGGGGCCCGCACAAGCGGUGGAGCAUGUGGUUUAAUUCGAAGCAACGCGAAGAACCUUACCAGGUCUUGACAUCCUCUGACAAUCCUAGAGAUAGGACGUCCCCUUCGGGGGCAGAGUGACAGGUGGUGCAUGGUUGUCGUCAGCUCGUGUCGUGAGAUGUUGGGUUAAGUCCCGCAACGAGCGCAACCCUUGAUCUUAGUUGCCAGCAUUCAGUUGGGCACUCUAAGGUGACUGCCGGUGACAAACCGGAGGAAGGUGGGGAUGACGUCAAAUCAUCAUGCCCCUUAUGACCUGGGCUACACACGUGCUACAAUGGACAGAACAAAGGGCAGCGAAAC
Molecule: ribosomal RNA, 707 nt
Filed under: Bacillus subtilis
Lineage: Bacteria; Bacillati; Bacillota; Bacilli; Caryophanales; Bacillaceae
Description: bacterial SSU rRNA
Rfam family: Bacterial small subunit ribosomal RNA
Source: RNAcentral